GGGCCCGCACAAGCGGUGGAGUAUGUGGUUUAAUUCGAUGAUACGCGAGGAACCUUACCAGGACUUAAAUGUAAGUUGCAUGAUUCAGAAAUGGAUCUUUCUUCGGACUACUUACAAGGUGCUGCAUGGUUGUCGUCAGCUCGUGCCGUGAGGUGUCAGGUUAAGUCCUAUAACGAGCGCAACCCCUAUCGUUAGUUGCCAUCAAGUAAAGUUGGGAACUCUAGCGAAACUGCCGGUGCAAACCGUGAGGAAGGUGGGGAUGACGUCAAAUCAUCACGGCCCUUACGUCCUGGGCCACACACGUGCUACAAUGGUCAGUACAGAAAGCAGCCACUAUGCGAAUAGGCGCGAAUCUUCAAAGCCGGUCUCAGUUCGGAUCGGAGUCUGCAACUCGACUCCGUGAAGCUGGAAUCGCUAG
Molecule: ribosomal RNA, 418 nt
Filed under: uncultured bacterium
Lineage: Bacteria
Description: bacterial SSU rRNA
Rfam family: Bacterial small subunit ribosomal RNA
Source: RNAcentral